UUCAGGAAAGAGUUCUUUCAGGAUGGAGUCCCAUUGAGUAUGGUUUGUAGUUGUUUGAUGAUGCCCUGUAUGGUUUCCAGUGUUUGGGGUAGGUGACUA
Non-coding RNA from Chelonoidis abingdonii (Abingdon island giant tortoise), 99 nucleotides. The record is from RefSeq and is a predicted model, not a curated record. NCBI's taxonomy places the organism in Eukaryota, Metazoa, Chordata, Testudines, Testudinidae.